UCUUAGGACUAUUUUUUAUUAAGAAAUUUUUUUAUUCAUUUUACAUACCAACCACAGAUUCCCCUCUCAUCUCUCCUCUUACUGCCCCCCCAGCCUUUCCCCUCAACCCAGCCCCGAUUCCCUUCUCCGAAAAGGUAAGGCCUCCCAUGUGGAGUCAGCAAAGCCUGGUACAUUCAUUUGAGGCAGGUAUUAUGACUAUCAUUUUUUGGGGCGGUGGGGGGGAGACAGGGACUAUGUAGCCCUGGUUGGCCUUAAACUCAGAGAUCCGCCUGCUUCUGCCUCCCCAGUGCUGGGAUUAAAGGUGUGGGCUGCCAUAACUGGCUUCGUCUUCACACAUACGUUAUACCUUGUUCUAAUUCAUUCCCUUUCACUGCCUUCCCCUCCCCUGUGUCCCUGCCUCUCUGGCUGGUUCCCUUCCUUUCCCCAGGUGACCACCUUCCUGCAUUUAUGGUUUCUCACCCUUUCUCAACAUCUCUUCCUGCGUGUUUGAGUGUGGACAUCAUAUAUGUACAUAAACUUUUAAGUCUUGCUUGGGAGAAAAUAUGGGCCUUUUUACAACCACGUGAAAUCCCAUUGUGUACAUACACCACAUUUAACUUUUUGUUUGUUUUUCGAGACAAGGUUUCUCUGUGUAGCCCUGGCUGUACUGGAACUAGCUGUGUAGAUGUGUAGACCAGGCUGGUUUUGAACUCAGAGAUCUACCUGCCUCUGCCUCCUGAGUGCUGGCUCCAUUUCCUGAUAGGGGUUACAAAUAGCUGACUUGCUAACAGACUCCAAGGGCUCUUUUGGUUGAACAGUGUGAUGGAUCAUCUUGACUGUCAACCCUACAGACUUAGAAUCACAAUGGGGAAUAUCUAUGAUGGAUUCUCUUUUUUCUUGUUUUUAAAAAUCACUGUUUUUUCUGUGUUUUGAGACAGUGCCUCUCUAUGUUAUCCUGGCUGUCCUGGAGCUCCCUACAUUGACCAGGCUGGCCUCAAAAUCAGAGAGCUGAGAUUAAAGGUGUGUGAGGCUAAUGGAUGUGGGGAGACGCACCCCAGUGUGGGCAACACUACUCCACGGGCUUGGGUCCCACACUGAGUACAAGUAUGUGGGUUGAGAAGCAGACUUCACUGCUCUGUGCUUCCUGACUGGAUGCAAUGUGACCAGUCAUCACCAGCUCAAGCCUCCAUGCUGUCCUUGCCAUGCUGGACUGGAUCCUGUCAAACUGUGAAAGCAGAUGAGCCCACCCUGGCUUCCCCAAGCUGCUGCUUGCCAGGAGCUUGGUCACAGCAACAGGAAAGCUACCUACCACACACUGGCACUCCUGGGAAGACAUGAAGCUUCCUGCUCUUCCUCUUUGCCAAGUUAUUUGGAACAUGUUCUCCUUGGUUUCAGACUUGACAUGGUCCAAUCCUGCCGGAGGAGGAUAAGAGUUCCCCUCAUGGGCCAGGCAUGGUGAUGCUCACCUUUAAUCCCAGCAUGCCAGGGGCAGCUGAAUCUUCGAGUUUCAGGCCAGCCUGGCCUGCAUACUCAGUUCCAGGCCAGCCAGAGCUACACAGUGAGACCUUGCCUCAAAAUAACAAAUAAAAAUAAGAGUUCCCCACACCAAGAAAUAGAGGAAGGAACCAUGAACCAGCUGUAUUCACUGAGCCACACCUAUGGUAGUCUUCUGAAAGGUUGGAGGGCGAUAACACAAAGCUGUGGUUCUUAGCUCCAUUUGGAGGGAAAGGGAAAGACAGGUCAUCUUGUGUUAUCAGGCUAGACUCCUCAUGAGGAAGGAAGGACAUGGCAGGAACCUUGGGACUUGGUAGAAUGUCCCUGUGCCCCACUCCCUUCCCAUGACAGAACUGAAAGCAUAUCCCAGAUAAGCUUUGUAUCAGAUCACCACAGAUGUGCCACAGCUGGACCUUAGACCCUCUGUCAUGUGACAAGAAAAUGAAAAGAGAAAGGCAUUGGUUCCCAACAUCCAAUGCACUUUAGUCUUGAUGUCUCAGGGAGUGCAGAUAUAGCUCAGUGUAGAGUGUAGAGCACUCGCCUAGCAUGUUCGAGGCCGGAGUCUGAGCCCCGGCAUUCCAGAGACCAUGCCUUCCCAGCAAGCACACUAAACCAUCUCAAUCAGGGUGUUCCAGUGGCUGACCCCAGAGCCUUACAAUUGUGAAGAGCAGCCUGGCCCAGAACCGGGGCAAGCGCUGGCCAAUCAGACCCAUCUGGAUAUGCAGUUUAUGUAGAGCACCACCUGGAAGGAAGCAUCAGAGACUUUUCAUUAGGGUCAAGUUCAGAGCUGGUGGGUUCAGACCAAGCCAAAACCCCACAGGACAAUUCACACAAAUCUACAGAACUCCAGGUAAGAACUCAGAAGACCAAAGGAAGAACAGAGCACAGAAAGGGGUGAGGUGAACUGGCUUAGAAUACAGGAUAGGCCAGGCGGUGGUGGCGCACACCUUUAAUCCCAGACUCUGGAGGCAGAGGAAGGUGGAUCUCUGAGUUCAAGGCCAGCCAGGGCUAUAAAGAAAAACUUUUGCCCCCCCCCCCCCCCCCAAAAAAAAAAGAAUACAGGAUAGGCAGAACUUGCUAAGACAGUCUUCCCACAGGAAAAGGAAACUGUUUAAUGUCAUUUGAAGAGGCCUUGGGCCACCCCACUCUCAAGUGACAAAAGGGCAGGGGAAGCAGCAGUGAGGCUGAGUCUGGGUAGCACAGGGGAGACUGCAUUCCAAGAGAAAGUGCAUUGGGGAUCAGGCAAAGGGGAACCUGAGCUGUGCAGGCUGGACUUGUCCUAGUCAGAAAAGACCACACUGCUGACAGGCCUUAAACCUGUCUGGCAGGCAAGCUUUGGAGACUCAAUACAUUUUGUCACCCCCUAUAUCUCAGAGUGCGAUACAGUCAGCCACCAUAUUGAGAAGGGGAUACUUAUUGUUUGAGACCCAGGCACUCUGGGGAACAGAAAGCAAGCAACAAUCAGGGAUCCUGGGGACUCCCUGCCACUGGGUUGCCAUGGAGACAGCCACAAAGGCUUGGAAAGGGGGAGGGCCAGAUGUAGACCCAGUGAGAGGCUGGAACACACUGGAGAGCAGAGCCUGACUAUAGAAUGCAGUGUUCAUCCACUUCUGUGGUGAGGGGAGGGACAAGCCUUUAGCUUGCACAUUACCAUGGAAACAGAAAGCUGAGCACAGGUCUAGGACUGCCCAUCUUUCCAGCCUCCUCCCCACAGGGCAGUUUGCCGCUGGGUGGGUCUCUAAGUGCCCACACCAACAGGCAGAACUUCAAGUCCCUCCGCUCUUCCUGCGUGCAGAACUCAGUGCUCGGCUUGCUGACCCUCUGACCACUUCAGCUGGACAUUUAUUACCUCUGGGUGUACAGAGGGGUGGAAGGGGGUGCUCUGGAGGCAUGGGAACCGAAACAGGUUACAGGCUACAAAGCCCAUGGGAGCCAGCAGCAGCUCCUGAUGCACGGAGCCUGCAAAGUUCUAAGAUUAACCCAGCAGUGACCCUGGCAGCUUAACAUUGACCAGCCCAGGCCUCAGCCAGUGGGAGCCAAGAGGAAUUGCAGUGAACUCCAUCUACAGAUGGAGGAAAUCUCACGCAGAGAGGGGGCUGGGACUCAUGUUAGAGGACCUGUAAAGAAGCUCCUACAUUCAACGCCCACCCCCCCACACACAUAGGCACAAUCAACAUUUUACCUUUUUAUUAUAUUUUACUAUUGUUUUCUUUUUAUUAAUUUUAAUUUUGUGUUGUUCUUAACACUCCAAUAGCUGUAUUCAAUGCUAUUAAAAUGACUGAAAUGCUGCACAAAGAACUGGAAGCCUAGUUUUAAAAAAUGAUAAAUGGGAGAGAGGCAUGGUGGCACACAACUUGAACCCCAGCACUUGGGAGGCAGAGGCAGGUGGAUCUCUGUGAGUUCAAGGCCAGCCUGGUCUACACUGAAAGUCAGGUCACUCAGUCAGAGCUACAUAGUGAGAUCCUAUCUCCAUAAAAAACUGAGGGAUGGCUCAGCAGGUAAGAGCGCCUACUGUUCUUCAAGAGGGCCGACAUUUGGCUCCCAGCGCCCACAUGGUGGCUCAGAACCAGUUCCUGAAGAUCCAACUCCUCUUCUACCCAUGCAGGCUUCUGCAUACUUGUGGUACAUAAACAUACUUUCAGAAACACACACAUACACAUAAAAUUAUUUUGUUUUAAUCAUGAAUGACCUCAAGAGACUUUAAAUGAACUCAAUUUACAAUCUGGGUGAGAUUUUCAACUUCAAUGAGCAACUCAGCAAAAAAGGAUUCUAAAAAAUAAAAACAAAAAUAUUGCAACAUGAAGUUUAAUACAUCACCUCAACGGAGAGCAUUACCAACAAACCAGCUUUCUCUACACAUAAGGACUGGUGGGCUUGGAGUGCAUACUGAACAGGCAGACCUCUGAGUUCAAGACCAUCCUCAGCUACUGAGUUCCAGGGCAGCCAGAGCUACAGAGCCCCACCCCAAAAGGAAAAAAUGUGGGGCCACAAAAAAAUUGGCUAUAGUAAUGGUAGGGGGACAGGAAGGCACAUCUAUAUUCUGUAUUUAAAGACAUUUUCACCUCACAUUGCUGAGCGGAGUCUGCUGUAUUUAGUUCAUAUGUACACAAUCAAUUUUUGGUUGAGUCAGCACCCACCCCACCCUGCCCCUACGGCACAGACACCCCAGGAGUAGUACAAGGUUGGCACUGGCGGAUGUUAACUAGACUCGAGGUUCGAAGAACUGCCUGAGCCCAGACAUGCAGAGAAUGCCAAGAGAUGGUGAAAGACAUCACACGUCUUAGAGAUAUGGCUGAGUCCCUAGAAGAAAGGGACAAAACUGAACUCUGGAAUGAUUGGCUCUAUGGCCCACCCCACCACACCCCCUGUAAGGUUGACUGACUGGAGAGGAAAUAUAAAGCAGUUUUCAGGCAGUUAGAUUCUAUUAAGAUUGUUGGCUUUAAUAGAUUAGAGUCUAAAGUUCAGCCAGGUGUAGCAGCACAGGCCAUUACUGCUAGCACUCAGGCAGAUCUUUGUGACUUUGAAGCCAGCCUGGUCUACAUUGUGAGUUCCAGCCUAGCCAAGGCUAUAUAGUGAGACCUUGUCUCAAAAACCAAAAGCAAAUGGAAACAAAGGUUUCAGUUUGUCUCUACUCAUUGGACAUCCCAAGUGCCAGGAAUAGGUUUCUGACAUGCAAUACCCACAGGUUAAUUUAAAAUCAAACAUGUUAAGAACCCCAGGUAUCUCUGGAGCUCAGCUGUGUUGUAGUUUGUUACAGCAGCUUCCUUCUGAGCACAUGCACGCACACUGCACCAGAUGCUGCUGUGGCGGCCUGUCAGAACACAAUCCAUGGAUGAAGCCUGUGAGAUUUCGGAGAGCUUGUGAGAAAACUCCAAGUAUCCAAAACAAGAGUCUUGUAACCUCCGCUCCUCCAUAACAUGAAUCAUUCUUGGAUGUGCUCCUGCCAGGUGUAGUAAUUAUUUCCCAGAAUGUUGUCUUUGUGACUGUGUACAACUGAACUUUUAUGGAAUGGCUUUGCCUAGCCCUCAGAAUAUACAUUGUCUGAUGCCCGGAACAGUUAGCUGUUGUCAACUUUGGCCUCCGUGUGGGGCGUGUUGGAAUUACAGAUGUUUGUGAACAGUCUCUGAAACACCUCAGACCAGAUUGGAGACUAGUAUAUGUUACUGAAUGCAGGAGAAAGAAGUAAAGGGGAAAUAAAUAAAAAGAAAUAGUUUCUAAAUCUCACAUGCUACUUCAAGCUCUGGUGCCAUUCCAAGUGUGUUCCCCAGGCCUUGCCCAGAUCAUUCCCGAUCAUCAUGGUAUUCCCUUGGUUUACCAUAACUACAGUCUAACCCCACCAUGUCCACUGUGGUCCUGAGCACCAGCCAGCCUGUGAGUGGGCCAGCAGGGUUUCUCCAUGGCUUCUCUGUCCUUCCUUGAUCAGAGGCAAUGCUGUAUGGAACAGCUAGCAGGCCUUCCUUCGAAUUCCUGCCUUGACUUCCCUCACUGAUGGAUCAUGACCUGCCACUGUCGGUCCAAUCGACAUUUUCUUCCCCUAAGUUGCUCUUGAUCACAGUAUCUCUCAGUCUCAGCAAUAAAACUAGAACACAUCUAGCCAGCCCAAGUGCCCGUGACCUCUUACCUAGACUGCCACUUGCUGACACUCCCACUCCACCGUUUUCUCUAGACCAUUCUCAAUUAAGAAUGGCAGAUCUAGGCUGAGGACGGCUCAGUUGGUGAAGCAUCUGCCACAGAAGCAGGAGCAGCUGAGUUGCAUCCACUAAAAAGCCUGGUAUGCUACAGCGGCCUGUAAUCCCAGGGCUAGGAAAGUGGAGACAGCCAGACUAGCCUCCUCAGUGAGUUCCAGGUUCAGAGAUCCCGCCUCAACAAACAAAGGAAGAGAGUGAUCAGGGAAAGAAAUGUGACAUUGGUCUUUGGCCUCUACACUCAAGUCCAUAGAUACACAUGCCCACACUGACAAGCAUUUUCACCACACAUAACACACCAGGAAAAAGAAUGUUGCCCCUUGUAUGAGAACGCCCACUCCUGGCCCAGACUCUAUCACAAGGCUGUACUUCUCGCGGGACCUCCUGAUCCUGGCAGGCAGUAUGGGGUAUGUACUGUCUCCUACGUAGCCUGGGCCCACUACUGUCAGUAUCCGACAGAACUGUAUUUGACUGCUAUACUUGGGUGACAGAACACAGAGCUUCUGACUGAACAGCAUCACCCCCAAAAGAGAACACCCUUCCAGUCCUCGUCAGCCGUGAUGUACCUUUGUAGCAGAUGCCCAGAUCCAUCGACCCACACAUCCUCUCAGUAUGCAAUAAAACGUCCAGCACACAGGUCCAAAAUAACAAUGGUCUCCCUGUCACCCACAUGUAACCAAGACUUACAAAUACUACUUAUACUCACUGUUUGCUUUUUCUUUUUUGCUUGUCUUCUGCUCUGUGGUAUAACGAUUUUGUUUAAAAUGUCAAAAAGACCAGCAGGACAAGAAAAAGAGGAAGCAUUUAUGUCCAUCUACAGCACAGGAAGUCAACCUGCUGGAAAAACUGGACAGCGGUAAACCAUCUUAUUAAAGAGUAUGGUACUAGAACAACUACCAGAUAUGACCUGAAGAAACAGGAAGAGAAAUUGUUGAAGGUCAGGGCUGAAAGUGAGCUAAGAGUAAAGAACAGAAAAACAUGGCAUUAGGCUAAAACUGAAGCACCCUGAUGAAGUAUUGAAAGAGCGGACCCAUCAGUGUUAGCAGUGAACAUGCGCUAUUGGACAGUGUGCUGCUUGUGAAACAGCCAAUGAUCACACGGAACUGUGAAUAUUCAAAGCCUGACUGCAGAAACUUAAAAGAAGGAACGGCAUUAACAUUUUAAAGAUGUGUGGCAAAACAGACCUAAGGCAGAGAAAUUCGUGGACAACAUGAAUACUGAAGCCACUCUGGACAUUGACGAUGAGCGAGGCCCCAGGUGUUCGUCAUUUCCCUCACUAGGCUGUGGUAAGCAGAUGGACUGCCCGCACUCAGAUGGCCGUAACAGUGGUGAGGACAUCGUGGGGAGCACUGCAAACUGCCUCUAGACGCCAUGUGCAACCGUAAGGAAAUGGUUGCUCACUGGUGGCGUAUAUAUUCAGCUAGGGUUAUGGUGAGGUCAAAUAGCCAGAUUGUCCAUACAGGGAGGAAGUGAGACCUUUGCUUUCUGGUGAAGUGGACACAAACUUUGUUUCAUCCACAAAGUGAUUGAAAAUACUGUGUAUAAGGUAUGUGUGAAACAUUAAUGAAUUUUAUGUCUAGACUUAUAUCUACUCCCUAGAUAUCUCAUUAGACACACUACUCUAAAACCCAAAACAACUGGAACUUUUGGUCCAGAGCAUUUCAGACAAGAGAUGCUUUCAACAUAAUGAGAUUUCUGCUGCCUGUAGUGAAUGUUUCCAUGCAUACACAUAUUUAAAUAUGGACUUCAGAAGUAGGGUAAGUUCCUGGCACACUUUAUGACACAAAGUACAGCGAGGUAAACUGAGCUCUGAGGAAGUUUUGCUCCCUGUAACAUUAUCCUGUCCCCUUGCCAUACUCCCUGGUAACAACUUUAGUCUAUUUCCAUAGGUUGUCUUUGUUUUGACUACACACCACUGCUGCCCCACAAUAAAAAGAAAUGCUAUUUGUUUAAAAGGAAAUGCUAUUUGUUUAAAAACAAACAAACAAACAAACAAACAAACCCACAGAGGCUAGUGGAUCUUUGUGAGUUCGACAAUAGCCAGGGAUACAUGAAUUUCACUGUAUAUCCUGACUGGCCUCAAACUUUGGAUCUCCCCCCAGCUACAGUUACAUUGGAUCCCUACUGGCUUGAAAGUCGAAAUCCUUAACAUAGAGACCCAGCUGUCAUGUGCCUGGCUGCUGUUUGCUGUCUGGUAACUUGUUUAAAGUUUCAAUUUCGCCCCCUCCAUUCUUUACUCAAACUGUUCUAAAGGACUUGACGUAAGAACAAUCCAUGCCUGCACUCAAUGUUUUCUAAGAAUUCCAGCAACAGCUCUGCUGUUCGUACACGGGGUCAUUCUUAAACAAACCUACUAGGAGCGGAAAGCAUCAAGUCAAAGAACACUUGGUAACCUGACCUACUCGAUGGCUCACUGUCACAACACUGCACUUGCAGGACAGGACGGCUCACAUGUUAUCGCGAUACUCAGGAGACUUACUCAGGAGGAGGACCAGUCUAGGGAUAGAGAAUGAAUUUCCGAACAGCCGGAUCUACCAAGUAACACCCUGUUGCAUAAACCACUACUGUACCCUCCGCCCCCCCCCCAAAGAAGAAAUAGCCAACUUUUCACAAAAUCUGGGAUAAAUUAAGCCAAAUAGCCUUUACAUUAAGACGUGUUGAGAAAAAACAGACAUUUUUCUACAAAAGAGGCAAGACAAACCAGUGUAAAAGCUGGAAAUUUAUUGUUAUUUGUGAUUAAUAAAUCAAACUGGAGAUGACACCGCCCCGCCUGUGGUACCAUUCACCAGUACAAAGUCCUUAACCCAGACAGACGGAGGCGUAAGGCAGAGCGCAGGGACACACCAACACUAUCCUCGCCAAGCUCUCCAGCCAUGCCUCCACCCUGACUUUUGUACAUGCUUUCUUCCUGGGGAAAGUGUCACAACAGUGCAGUCUGGGGGCAACCUGGCCUCUCAACCUUUUAAUAGCAAGCAGCUUACAGAAGUUACAGAAUUCACCUUCUAGUUCCCUUGAUUUUAUUUGUCUGAACUCGUUUUAGAUUAUUUUAACAUCAUAAUUUUGGAUAACUGUACAAGAAAGAAUACAAUGACCUAAGAGAAUACUGAACCAGAGUCAGCCGCAUAUAUCACUGACCCUAAAGUUAUAUUUUAAUUGGUCCCGAAGGAAUGUAUCACCCCAACAGUGUGAGAGUUAGGCAAAUAGAACUUCUUUGGGGAAGGAAGAAAGAGGCUAUAGGAUAGCCAAACUUACUCAAAACUGUUAAAACGGCUCUUUGUUUUCACCAGACUGACACUACUAUAUGCAUAGAGUCUCCACAGAAUCUUGGUUGCCAGUAUUACUUAGUUCAGGCUGGCCCAAUCCAGAAUAAGAUUCUGUCUUACCCCUCCCCCACCCCCCUUCUCUGAGGCUCUGAACAGCACAACAUUCAACUAUUUCUUAAUAGAACUAGGCAAACACUUCAGAAACAAGUGGCUCACUAAUCAUUUUAAACCCAGGUAUUGCCUAUGAAUGAGAAAGCUGAUAAACCCAAAAGAUAGUUCUACUUUUAUAUGGCAAUUAAAACGGAAACAUCAGCACUUUCAGUGAAAGCAACAUUCAAUCAAACUCAAUGCUGCUGAGACAGCUAUGGGGAGCAGAAAGCCCCGGGUAUAUGCAUUGGAGUAUGUUACAGUGCUUCUUCAAUCUGAACAAAAGAAAGGUAAUUUACAGCCAUUAUGUAAAUGUUGAGAUAUUAUUACAGUAUAUUUCCUGUACAAUUAAAUGUCCCUAAAGAGAUAACCAGAAUCAGUUUUUCUUUAUUUUCAACAAACCUGACUAAAUGGCACUUCUGCUGAGAGAUGUUUAUCAAAGGUGCUGUAAGAUUCUACACAAUUAAGAAUCCUUAUUUUACUUUUUUGGUUACAGGAAUUUUGCUUAGAUGAUCUAGAAACGCGCAAUAAUUUGUACUGUAUACAAAUAAGCAAAAUUGUCAGUAGUAUAAAUCUUACAGCAUUAUUUGCAAAAAUACAUGCCAAAGUCACAAUAAGCAAUACUGUCCCACAAAUCAUGGAGCGCAAAUGAUCUGCUUUUUAAUGCCUUUAUUCUACAUAAAUUACUACCAUAGGGUUAUGUUUAAAAAGCAAGUUAGUUGGACAGAUGCAGGACAAAAAUUUGUUCACCCAAUUAGAAAAGGUGAUAUUUUUAAAAAAUUACAAUAAAUGCCAAGUGUUUGAUGCAUGCAGCAGCCUUAACUGAAAACAUUGAUUCCCACUGUUCCAAAGAUACAGAAAACCCGCACAUCUUACUGCACUCCACCUCAGAUGCUUCCUAUUGGUUUCGUUUAUAACAGCACAGAAUUCCAAUGAAAUAAAGCAGGUUAUUUUAAAGAUUUAAGAGCCGUUA
Non-coding RNA from Peromyscus maniculatus bairdii (prairie deer mouse), 10541 nucleotides. The record is from RefSeq and is a predicted model, not a curated record. NCBI's taxonomy places the organism in Eukaryota, Metazoa, Chordata, Mammalia, Rodentia, Cricetidae.